GUGCUCACUUAAGCAGCACGUAUACUGAAAUGGAAACAGUACAGAGAAGAUUAGUAUGGUCCCUGAGCAAUGGUGACAUACAAAUGUGGAAGCAUUCCGUAUUUUU
Molecule: small nuclear RNA, 106 nt
Organism: Nycticebus coucang (slow loris)
Lineage: Eukaryota; Metazoa; Chordata; Mammalia; Primates; Lorisidae
Source: RefSeq, a predicted model, not a curated record